ACAUAGGAGGCUGUUUUGUAU
This 21-nucleotide microRNA is filed under the name Medicago truncatula (barrel medic). RNAcentral's name for it is "mtr-miR2619a". Lineage: Eukaryota; Viridiplantae; Streptophyta; Magnoliopsida; Fabales; Fabaceae. The record is from miRBase by way of RNAcentral.